Molecule: ribosomal RNA, 253 nt
Filed under: uncultured bacterium
Lineage: Bacteria
Description: partial 16S ribosomal RNA
Rfam family: Bacterial small subunit ribosomal RNA
Source: RNAcentral
GACGGGGGAUGCAAGCGUUAUCCGGAAUCACUGGGCGUAAAGAGUCUGUAGGUGGUGAUGCAAGUCACUGGUGCAAAACUCUGGCUCAACCGGAGGAAAGCCAGUGAAACUGCAUGACUAGAGUGUGGGAGAUGUAGAAGGAAUUCCAUGAGUAGCGGUGAAAUGCGUAGAUACAGGGAAGAACACCGGAGGCGAAAGCGUUCUACUGGAACACAACUGACACUGAGAGAAGAAAGCUAGGGGAGCGAAUGGG